AGGCAAAAGCCAUUAAAAUCUUAG
This 24-nucleotide small nuclear RNA is filed under the name Arabidopsis thaliana (thale cress). RNAcentral describes it as "snRNA_08523". The record is from RNAcentral. Lineage: Eukaryota; Viridiplantae; Streptophyta; Magnoliopsida; Brassicales; Brassicaceae.